This 568-nucleotide ribosomal RNA is filed under the name fungal sp. enrichment culture clone F4. Its description in RNAcentral is "eukaryotic LSU rRNA". The stretch from base 180 to 333 matches the Rfam family "5.8S ribosomal RNA". Lineage: Eukaryota; Fungi. The record is from RNAcentral.
AUUGCCAAUACCGUAGUGACCUGCGGAGGAUCAUUACCGAGUGCGGGCCCUCUGGGGGGAACCUCCCAUCCGUGUCUAUCUGUACCCUGUUGCUUCGGCGUGGCCACGGCCCGCCGGAGACUAACAUUUGAACGCUGUCUGAAGUUUGCAGUCUGAGUUUUUAGUUAAACAAUCGUUAAAACUUUCAACAACGGAUCUCUUGGUUCCGGCAUCGAUGAAGAACGCAGCGAAAUGCGAUAAUUAAUGUGAAUUGCAGAAUUCAGUGAAUCAUCGAGUCUUUGAACGCACAUUGCGCCCCCUGGUAUUCCGGGGGGCAUGCCUGUCCGAGCGUCAUUGCUGCCCUCAAGCACGGCUUGUGUGUUGGGCUUCCGUCCCUGGCAACGGGGACGGGCCCAAAAGGCAGGGGGGGCACCAUGUCUGGUCCUCGAGCGUAUGGGGCUUUGUCACCCGCUCCCGUAGGUCCAGCUGGCAGCUAGCCUCGCAACCAAUCUUUUUAACCAGGUUGACCUCGGAUCAGGUAGGGAUACCCGCUGAACUUAAGCAUAUCAAUAAGCGGAGAGAAAUUCAA